CCUCGGGCGGCAGCAGUGAGGAAUAUUGCACAAUGGGGGGAACCCUGAUGCAGCAACGCCGCGUGGAGGAUGACGCAUUUCGGUGUGUAAACUCCUUUUAUAUGUCAAGAAAAUGACGGUAGCAUAUGAAUAAGCACCGCUAACUCCGUGCCAGCAGCCGCGGUAAUACGGAGGGUGCAAGCGUUACGCGGAAUCACUGGGCGUAAAGGACGCGUAGGCGGGUUGGAAAGUCAGGUGUGAAAUCCUACAGCUUAACUGUAGAACUGCACUUGAAACUUCUAAUCUAGAGUAUGGGAGGGGGAGAUGGAAUUAGUGGUGUAGGGGUAAAAUCCGUAGAUAUCACUAGGAAUACCUAAAGCGAAGGCGAUCUCCUGGAACAUUACUGACUCUAAGGCGUGAAAGCGUGGGGAGCAAACAGGAUUAGAUACCCCCGUAGUC
This 438-nucleotide ribosomal RNA is filed under the name uncultured bacterium. Its description in RNAcentral is "partial 16S ribosomal RNA". It matches the Rfam family "Bacterial small subunit ribosomal RNA", at positions 339 to 795 of the family's 1533-position model. The record is from RNAcentral.